GUUUCUUUUUCAUUAUUUAUUAUGUCACCCGAUCGACAAUGUCGGGUGACAUAUUGCUUUUCCUCUGUUUCUUUUUCCCUAUUAUUAUUAUUAUUUUUCUUCCACCUAAUUUUGUCCGGCAGCUUUCUCAGAGCCAAAGGAACCAAUCUGAAUGAUGGUGCACUAUAACAAGGAACCCUGACUUUCCAGUUGCAGUGCAACUUUGGAACUAAAAAAUGGCUGCCAUCACCAUGGAAA
RNAcentral lists this long non-coding RNA (237 nucleotides) under Mytilus galloprovincialis (Mediterranean mussel). The record is from RNAcentral. Lineage: Eukaryota; Metazoa; Mollusca; Bivalvia; Mytilida; Mytilidae.